Molecule: ribosomal RNA, 253 nt
Filed under: uncultured bacterium
Lineage: Bacteria
Description: partial 16S ribosomal RNA
Rfam family: Bacterial small subunit ribosomal RNA
Source: RNAcentral
UACGUAGGGAGCAAGCGUUGUUCGGAUUUACUGGGCGUAAAGCGCGCGUAGGCGGCGCGGUAAGUCACUUGUGAAAUCUCUGAGCUUAACUCAGAACGGCCAAGUGAUACUGCAGUGCUAGAGUGCAGAAGGGGCAAUCGGAAUUCUUGGUGUAGCGGUGAAAUGCGUAGAUAUCAAGAGGAACACCUGAGGUGAAGGCGGGUUGCUAGGCUGACACUGACGCUGAGGCGCGAAAGCCAGGGGAGCAAACGGG